This 295-nucleotide unclassified non-coding RNA is filed under the name uncultured fungus. Its description in RNAcentral is "partial contains 5.8S ribosomal RNA, internal transcribed spacer 2, and large subunit ribosomal RNA". The record is from RNAcentral. Lineage: Eukaryota; Fungi.
AACGCACAUUGCGCCCUUCUGGUUUUUACGAAGGGUAUGCCUGUUUGAGUGUCAUGAAUCCAUCAACAUAGACAAGCUUUGUCUUGUACUAUGCUUGUAUGAAUGAAGGUUGCUGGAAUUCUUCAGCUCCUUUUAAAUUGAUUAGCGAGAAUGCUUUUUCAGCUCUGGUUUGAUAACUUUUUCUAUGCCUUUGCUGAUGUCGCCACUCUCGCUUCUAAUUGUCCCUUGGGACUGUCGUUUUAGACAACUCUUGACUUUUGACCUCAAAUCAGGUAGGACUACCCGCUGAACUUAA